GGGGAGGUAGCUUAGUGGUUAAGAGCAUCAACUGCUCUUCCGAAGGUCCUGAGUUCAAAUCCCAGCAACCACA
Molecule: transfer RNA, 73 nt
Filed under: Mus musculus (house mouse)
Lineage: Eukaryota; Metazoa; Chordata; Mammalia; Rodentia; Muridae
Rfam family: tRNA
About the family: Transfer RNA (tRNA) molecules are approximately 80 nucleotides in length.
Source: Rfam by way of RNAcentral